GACAGAGGGGGCGAGCGUUGUCCGGCAUCACAGGGCGUAAAGCGCGCGCAGGCGGCAACCUCAGUGUCGUGUGAAAGCCCCCGGCUCAACCGGGGGAGGCCAUGGCAAACUGGGUCGCUCGAGCUGCGGAGAGGCCCCUCGAAUUGCCGGUGUAGCGGUGAAAUGCGUAGAGAUCGGCAGGAAGACCAAGGGGGAAGCCAGGGGGCUGGCCGCAGGCUGACGCUGAGGCGCGACAGCGUGGGGAGCAAACCGG
Molecule: ribosomal RNA, 253 nt
Filed under: uncultured bacterium
Lineage: Bacteria
Description: partial 16S ribosomal RNA
Rfam family: Bacterial small subunit ribosomal RNA
Source: RNAcentral